AUGCCGGAGAAGGUCUGUCUAGCGGCACUUUGUCUCCCCUUUUUUGACCUCGGGUGUGCUCGAGAAGCCCUGGAGAGGAAAUUUGCCUUAAACGCUGAGGAACUUCGGGGCGGAGCGGGGGUUGCGGGGCGGAGCGGGGGGCGGAGCGGGCAGGACCGAAUUGGCCCUGAGGCCCGGAAAGGCCUGUCUGGCGGCACUUUGUCUCCCCUUGAGCUUUUUUGCCUCGGGUGUGCUCGAGAAGCCCUGGAGAGGAAAUUUGCCUUAAACGCUGAGGAACUUCGGGGCGGAGCGGGGGUUGCGGGGCGGAGCGGGCAGGACCGAAUUGGCCCUGAGGCCCGGAAAGGCCUGUCUGGCGGCACUUUGUCUCCCCUUGAGCUUUUUUGCCUCGGGUGUGCUCGAGAAGCCCUGGAGAGGAAAUUUGACUUAAACGCUGAGGAACUUCGGGGCGGAGCGGGGGUUGCGGGGCGGAGCGGGCAGGACCGAAUUGGCCCUGAGGCCCGGAAAGGCCUGUCUGGCGGCACUUUGUCUCCCCUUGAGCUUUUUUGCCUCGGGUGUGCUCGAGAAGCCCUGGAGAGGAAAUUUGACUUAAACGCUGAGGAACUUCGGGGCGGAGCGGGGGUUGCGGGGCGGAGCGGGCAGGACCGAAUUGGCCCUGAGGCCCGGAAAGGCCUGUCUGGCGGCACUUUGUCUCCCCUUGAGCUUUUUUGCCUCGGGUGUGCUCGAGAAGCCCUGGAGAGGAAAUUUGCCUUAAACGCUGAGGAACUUCGGGGCGGAGCGGGGGUUGCGGGGCGGAGCGGGGGGCGGAGCGGGCAGGACCGAAUUGGCCCUGAGGCCCGGAAAGGCCUGUCUGGCGGCACUUUGUCUCCCCUUGAGCUUUUUUGCCUCGGGUGUGCUCGAGAAGCCCUGGAGAGGAAAUUUGACUUAAACGCUGAGGAACUUCGGGGCGGAGCGGGGGUUGCGGGGCGGAGCGGGCAGGACCGAAUUGGCCCUGAGGCCCGGAAAGGCCUGUCUGGCGGCACUUUGUCUCCCCUUGAGCUUUUUUGCCUCGGGUGUGCUCGAGAAGCCCUGGAGAGGAAAUUUGCCUUAAACGCUGAGGAACUUCGGGGCGGAGCGGGGGUUGCGGGGCGGAGCGGGGGUUGCGGGGCGGAGCGGGGGGCGGAGCGGGCAGGACCGAAUUGGCCCUGA
Molecule: long non-coding RNA, 1185 nt
Filed under: Lynx canadensis (Canada lynx)
Lineage: Eukaryota; Metazoa; Chordata; Mammalia; Carnivora; Felidae
Description: lncRNA (ENSLCNG00005020884.1)
Source: RNAcentral